GCAACGCGAAGAACCUUACCUGGUCUUGACAUCCACAGAACUUUCUAGAGAUAGAUUGGUGCCUUCGGGAACUGUGAGACAGGUGCUGCAUGGCUGUCGUCAGCUCGUGUUGUGAAAUGUUGGGUUAAGUCCCGUAACGAGCGCAACCCUUGUCCCUAGUUGCCAGCACAUAAUGGUGGGGACUCUAGCAAAACUGCCCGUGCAAACGGUGAGGAAGGUGGGGACGACGUCAAGUCAUCAUGGCCCUUACGUGUAGGGCUACAC
Molecule: ribosomal RNA, 264 nt
Filed under: Pseudo-nitzschia fraudulenta
Lineage: Eukaryota; Bacillariophyta; Bacillariophyceae; Bacillariales; Bacillariaceae
Description: partial Bacterial small subunit ribosomal RNA
Rfam family: Bacterial small subunit ribosomal RNA
Source: RNAcentral